Molecule: non-coding RNA, 48 nt
Submitted as: unclassified sequences
Source: Rfam
AUUGGAUGCGCUCCGGACAAAUGGAUAAGAUGAAGCAUUGUACGGAGU